AUGUUUUUAGGAGUUGACGGAUUAACCAGAGAGAUCAGUAAAUCCACAAAAAUCCUGACCAACAGGCACCAAUUCUCCGAUGUCGGAAGAGACGGUUGUAGGAACCGAUGUCUCCAGGCCUGGGUGGACGUGGCACGGGGAUGCUCAGCUGGGAGCUGGAAGGUAACGCAGCAGUAUAUGAGGGGGAUUUACUUUCAAAAUAACACAGACUACACAUGUUACUGGGCAUCACUGGAUUCAGUGGGACACAGAAACGGUACGUACGGAGAAGCCACGGGUCAAUUUGCAUAAUUUUGUCUUGUUACUAUAUUGGAACUUCAGGCUAUCGGAAGACCACUUUCAUCUGUGGGAACUUCAUAAUUACUUAUUAAGCUUCUGAGGUUUUUACUAGUGUAGCAUUUCUGGGUCAUCAAUGCAAAUUAAUAAUUUAGAUACAUUAAUAAUUUAUGUUAGGGAGUCUGAUGGAGUAACAGGGGCUGGAGGCCAUGGGAUCAAAGGGAAGAAGGAUCUUCUCUGUAGUCAAUGAAGUCACCAGGGUCAUAAAAAGACUAAAAAUCCAUGGAUGGGGAGCCUGCUGUCUCUGUGGAGGAGAGCGAUGUGCUCUACCAAGCUGGGUGAGCAACCUACUGCCCCAGCACAGGAAAACCUGGGCUGGGAAGGUGAACACAAAUAGGUCUUAGCUCAAAAUGUGCUGUGGGCUGUCUUCUGGGUCAGUAUCUCGCAUCUUCAGGUUGUGCUGACUCCCAGAUGAGGUGGGGAAACUCAUUCCAGAGGCUUUGCCAUCAGCCGAAGGCCAAGUCAUGGACAGAGAAGAGGAGGUAAGACUUGGUUGUGGGUGGCCUGUACCAGGCAGGAGAGCCAAGUUCUGGCUGGACAUCCACGUAGUGGUAUGUGAGUUGUUCCCCGUACCAGCAUUUCCAUCCAAAUACUACCUUAGCUCAUGCAUGAGUGGGUUAAUGUUACUAUUCAUAUUCCAGACUCAAACUGGCCCUUGCAGGAAUUAGAAAAAGGAGGUUUCAGCAAAGUGUUAGCUAACAUUUGUUAAUUAUUAUUCUUGAAAGGAAUCCCGUAGCACUUGGCUCCACCAAAACGUUUGGCAUUUUCUUACCCUGUCUCCUUUCCUUGCUGUAGAGAAAUCUGAAGAGAUUGCUUUAGCCAUGGCUGGUCCCAGAGGGUUGGUCACAGGCAGAGAAGGGACGUGGCCAAAACCAAAUGGAAACGUAGGGAGAUGGACACGGAACACACAGAUAAAACCUCCACGUUGCACGGUUUCUCUGGUUUGCCUGAGAGUCUCCCCUCUCUGGUGUGGGCUGUGCCACAUGGAAAUGCCCAUGUUCGGCUGUUUUGUGUAAUUCCUCCUUCACUACCCCUGUUAUUUAGAAUUCUACAUUUGUGUAAGAGCAGCUUAAAAAGAAACGGGGACCCCACAGAGCAAAAUCUGGUGGGAACACGUUGCAGCAACUGAAUUAUGCUCCCCGCAAUAUUAAAGAAACCUCAUUUCCCACCAACCAACUCUUACCCUGGAAAUCAUACAAAUAAAUUAAGGAGCUUUCCAAAGAAACCA
This 1564-nucleotide long non-coding RNA is filed under the name Calidris pugnax (ruff). RNAcentral's name for it is "lncRNA (ENSCPUG00000017305.1)". Lineage: Eukaryota; Metazoa; Chordata; Aves; Charadriiformes; Scolopacidae. The record is from RNAcentral.